CCUACGGGAGGCAGCAGUGGGGAAUAUUGCACAAUGGGGGAAACCCUGAUGCAGCAACGCCGCGUGAAGGAAGACGGUUUUCGGAUUGUAAACUUCUGUUCUUAGUGAAGAAUAAUGACGGUAGCUAAGGAGCAAGCCACGGCUAACUACGUGCCAGCAGCCGCGGUAAUACGUAGGUGGCAAGCGUUGUCCGGAAUUACUGGGUGUAAAGGGAGCGCAGGCGGGAAGCCAAGUCAGCUGUGAAAACUACGGGCUUAACUUGUAGACUGCAGUUGAAACUGGUUUUCUUGAGUGAAGUAGAGGUUGGCGGAAUGCCGGGUGUAGCGGUGAAAUGCGUAGAUAUUCGGAGGAACCCCGGUUGCGAAGGCGGCCAGCUGGGUUCUGACUGACGCUGAGGCACGAAAGCGUGGGGAGCGAACAGGAUUAGAUACCCUGGUAGUC
This 441-nucleotide ribosomal RNA is filed under the name uncultured bacterium. RNAcentral's name for it is "partial 16S ribosomal RNA". It matches the Rfam family "Bacterial small subunit ribosomal RNA", at positions 338 to 795 of the family's 1533-position model. The record is from RNAcentral.